RNAcentral lists this non-coding RNA (193 nucleotides) under unclassified sequences. Its description in RNAcentral is "DUF2800 RNA". The stretch from base 28 to 193 matches the Rfam family "DUF2800 RNA". From Rfam's summary of the family: Actinobacteria, Firmicutes, Synergistetes (1 example). Terminator (Clostridia) The record is from RNAcentral.
GUCCCGGACAUGACGAUAAACCGUCUGCUGCUUCGCGCCGCGCCGGACUGAUCACCGACGGCUCAACGGCGCAGGCGGGUACAACUUAAUAUGUUAACCAGCUGCCUUUUGAGCGGGAAGCUGCAGACCGGAACGGAGAAAAAAUCUUCGUCGGUAGGCGGUUUGUUUGCUAUACCCUUUUUGCGGCUGACAC